This 83-nucleotide transfer RNA is filed under the name Candidatus Omnitrophota bacterium. RNAcentral describes it as "Candidatus Omnitrophica bacterium tRNA-Leu". It matches the Rfam family "tRNA". Rfam says of the family: Transfer RNA (tRNA) molecules are approximately 80 nucleotides in length. Their secondary structure includes four short double-helical elements and three loops (D, anti-codon, and T loops). Further hydrogen bonds mediate the characteristic L-shaped molecular structure. tRNAs have two regions of fundamental functional importance: the anti-codon, which is responsible for specific mRNA codon recognition, and the 3' end, to which the tRNAs corresponding amino acid is attached (by aminoacyl-tRNA synthetases). tRNAs cope with the degeneracy of the genetic code in two manners: having more than one tRNA (with a specific anti-codon) for a particular amino acid; and 'wobble' base-pairing, i.e. permitting non-standard base-pairing at the 3rd anti-codon position. Lineage: Bacteria; Pseudomonadati; Candidatus Omnitrophota. The record is from RNAcentral.
GGGCAAGUGGUGGAAUGGCAUACACGUCAGACUUAAAAUCUGAUGGCCGCAAGGUCGUGAGGGUCCGACUCCCUCCUUGCCCA